UUUGUGCCCAACACCUUCAUACUAUCAGCUUUAAGACGUUUCCUUUCUCUAUAUCUGCGUUGACGCUCCCGAUUUUUUAGCCUCUUAGCCAAAAUGUCAUCACUGACUAAGGUUUUCGGCCCAUUAUCCUGAGGUUUCUUCACAGGAACAUCCAUUCUUGAAGUUCAAUUAUCGGUUCAAACUAACAAGAAACCAGCAUUUGCAGACAAACUUCUUCACACGGUAAAAUACUUGUUUAUUCCAA
Molecule: unclassified non-coding RNA, 244 nt
Filed under: Hevea brasiliensis (rubber tree)
Lineage: Eukaryota; Viridiplantae; Streptophyta; Magnoliopsida; Malpighiales; Euphorbiaceae
Source: RNAcentral